Molecule: ribosomal RNA, 460 nt
Filed under: uncultured bacterium
Lineage: Bacteria
Description: partial 16S ribosomal RNA
Rfam family: Bacterial small subunit ribosomal RNA
Source: RNAcentral
CCUACGGGAGGCAGCAGUGAGGAAUAUUGGUCAAUGGGCGCGAGCCUGAACCAGCCAAGUAGCGUGAAGGAUGACUGCCCUACGGGUUGUAAACUUCUUUUAUAAAGGAAUAAAGUGAGGCACGCGUGCCUUUUUGCAUGUACUUUAUGAAUAAGGAUCGGCUAACUCCGUGCCAGCAGCCGCGGUAAUACGGAGGUUGCGAGCGUUAUUCGGAAUUAUUGGGUUUAAAGGGAGCGUAGAUGGGUUGUAAAGUCAGUUGUGAAAGUUUGCGGCUCAACCGUAAGAAUGCAAAUAAUACUGGCUGUCUUGAGUGCAGUUGAGGUAAGCGGAAUUCGUGGUGUAGCGGUGAAAUGCUUAGAGAUCACGAAGAACACCAGUGGCGAAGGCAGCUUACUAAACUGCCACUGACAUUGAUGCACGAGAGUGUGGGUAUCAAACAGGAUUAGAUACCCGAGUAGUC